GUGGGGAAUCUUGCGCAAUGGGCGAAAGCCUGACGCAGCAACGCCGCGUGCGGGAUGACGGCCUUCGUGGUUGUAAACCGCUUUCAGCAGGGACGAAAUUGACGGUACCUGCAGAAGAAGCCCCGGCUAACUACGUGCCAGCAGCCGCGGUCAUACGUAGGGGGCAAGCGUUGUCCGGAAUCAUUGGGCGUAAAGAGCUCGUAGGCGGUUCAGUAAGUCGGGUGUGAAAGCUCCGAGCUCAACUCGGAGAGGGCACUCGAUACUGCUGUGACUAGAAUCCAGUAGGGGAGUGUGGAAUUCCUGGUGUAGCGGUGAAAUGCGCAGAUAUCAGGAGGAACACCAGCGGCGAAGGCGGCACUCUGGGCUGGUAUUGACGCUGAGGAGCGAAAGUGUGGGUAGCAAACAGGAUUAGAUACCCUGGUAGUCC
Molecule: ribosomal RNA, 427 nt
Filed under: uncultured bacterium
Lineage: Bacteria
Description: partial 16S ribosomal RNA
Rfam family: Bacterial small subunit ribosomal RNA
Source: RNAcentral